AGAGUUUGAUCAUGGCUCAGGAUGAACGCUAGCGGCAGGCUUAAUACAUGCAAGUCGAGGGGCAGCGCGGGUAGCAAUACCUGGCGGCGACCGGCAAACGGGUGCGGAACACGUACGCAACCUUCCCGAAACUGGUGAAUAGCCCUCCGAAAGGAGGAUUAAUACACCGUAACAUAAUGAAGUGGCAUCACUUUAUUAUUAUAGCCUUCGGGCGGUUUUGGAUGGGCGUGCGCCUGAUUAGGUAGUUGGCUGGGUAACGGCCCACCAAGCCUGCGAUCAGUAACUGGUGUGAGAGCACGACCAGUCACACGGGCACUGAGACACGGGCCCGACUCCUACGGGAGGCAGCAGUAAGGAAUAUUGGUCAAUGGACGAAAGUCUGAACCAGCCAUGCCGCGUGAAGGAUGAAGGUCCUCUGGAUUGUAAACUUCUUUUAUCUGGGACGAAAAAAGGGAAUUCUUUCUCACUUGACGGUACCAGAGGAAUAAGCACUGGCUAACUCCGUGCCAGCAGCCGCGGUAAUACGGAGGGUGCAAGCGUUAUCCGGAUUUACUGGGUUUAAAGGGUGCGUAGGUGGGCAGGUAAGUCAGUGGUGAAAUCCCCGGGCUUAACCCGGGAACUGCCAUUGAUACUAUCUGUCUUGAAUAUCCUGGAGGUGAGCGGAAUAUGUCAUGUAGCGGUGAAAUGCUUAGAUAUGACAUAGAACACCCAUUGCGAAGGCAGCUCACUACGGGAUCAUUGACACUGAGGCACGAAAGCGUGGGGAUCAAACAGGAUUAGAUACCCUAGUAGUCC
RNAcentral lists this ribosomal RNA (795 nucleotides) under uncultured bacterium. RNAcentral's name for it is "bacterial SSU rRNA". It matches the Rfam family "Bacterial small subunit ribosomal RNA", at positions 8 to 796 of the family's 1533-position model. The record is from RNAcentral.